UACGGAGGGAGCUAGCGUUGUUCGGAAUUACUGGGCGUAAAGCGCACGUAGGCGGCUAUUCAAGUCAGAGGUGAAAGCCCGGGGCUCAACCCAGGAACUGCGUCCAAGACUGGGAGGCUUGAAUCCGGGAGAGGGAUGCGGAAUUCCAGGUGUAGCGGUGAAAUGCGUAGAUAUCUGGAGGAACACCGGUGGCGAAGGCGGCAUCCUGGACCGGGAUUGACACUGAGGCGCGAAAGCCAGGGGAGCAAACGGG
Molecule: ribosomal RNA, 253 nt
Filed under: uncultured bacterium
Lineage: Bacteria
Description: partial 16S ribosomal RNA
Rfam family: Bacterial small subunit ribosomal RNA
Source: RNAcentral